AUGCAGCGGUCUGACACAAUUUGAGUUUGCUACAGCAAGAAAGUCUAACCUAUUCCAGCACUCUCCCCACUGUAGAUAGGCUGUUAUAUAGACUGAAACAGU
Small nucleolar RNA from Octodon degus (degu), 102 nucleotides. The record is from Ensembl. NCBI's taxonomy places the organism in Eukaryota, Metazoa, Chordata, Mammalia, Rodentia, Octodontidae.